AAUAGAUGACGCCGUUGACUUUUUCUCACAUGUUUGACCAUUCGUCUUAUUUAAAAAAAUUUCGUAAUUAUAAUUUAUUUUGUUACCAGUUGUUUUAUCACUCAUAGUAUUUUAAGUGUGAUUUAUAUCUUACACAUUUAAAUAAAAUUUUUGAAUAAGACAAAUGGUCAAACAUGUGAGAAAAAAAUCAACGGCGUCAUCUAUU
Molecule: microRNA precursor, 205 nt
Filed under: Oryza barthii
Lineage: Eukaryota; Viridiplantae; Streptophyta; Magnoliopsida; Poales; Poaceae
Description: MIR812 microRNA precursor family
Rfam family: MIR812 microRNA precursor family
Source: Rfam by way of RNAcentral